GACGAACGCUGGCGGCGUGCCUAAUACAUGCAAGUAGAACGCUGAAGGAGGAGCUUGCUUCUCUGGAUGAGUUGCGAACGGGUGAGUAACGCGUAGGUAACCUGCCUUGUAGCGUGGGAUAACUAUUGGAAACGAUAGCUAAUACCGCAUAAUAGUAGAUGUUGCAUGACAUUUGCCUAAAAGGUGCAAUUGCAUCACUACCAUAUGGACCUGCGUUGUAUUAGCUAGUUGGUGGGGUAACGGCUCACCAAGGCGACGAUACAUGGCCGACCUGAGAGGGUGAUCGGCCACACUGGGACUGAGACACGGCCCAGACUCCUACGGGAGGCAGCAGUAGGGAAUCUUCGGCAAUGGACGGAAGUCUGACCGAGCAACGCCGCGUGAGUGAAGAAGGUUUUCGGAUCGUAAAGCUCUGUUGUAAGAGAAGAACGAGUGUGAGAGUGGAAAGUUCACACUGUGACGGUAUCUUACCAGAAAGGGACGGCUAACUACGUG
This 495-nucleotide ribosomal RNA is filed under the name uncultured bacterium. Its description in RNAcentral is "partial 16S ribosomal RNA". It matches the Rfam family "Bacterial small subunit ribosomal RNA", at positions 28 to 507 of the family's 1533-position model. The record is from RNAcentral.